This 253-nucleotide ribosomal RNA is filed under the name uncultured bacterium. Its description in RNAcentral is "partial 16S ribosomal RNA". It matches the Rfam family "Bacterial small subunit ribosomal RNA", at positions 524 to 776 of the family's 1533-position model. The record is from RNAcentral.
GACGUAGGGGGCGAGCGUUGUCCGGAUUUAUUGGGCGUAAAGCGUGCGUAGGCGGCUGCGCAAGUCGGGUGUGAAACCCCGGGGCUCAACCCCGGAACUGCAUGCGAUACUGCGUGGCUAGAGGUAGGUAGGGGAGAUCGGAAUUCCUGGUGUAGCGGUGAAAUGCGCAGAUAUCAGGAGGAACACCGGUGGCGAAGGCGGGUCUCUGGGCAACUACUGACGCUGAGGAGCGAAAGCGUGGGGAGCGAACAGG